RNAcentral lists this unclassified non-coding RNA (338 nucleotides) under soil metagenome. RNAcentral describes it as "partial contains 5.8S ribosomal RNA, internal transcribed spacer 2, and large subunit ribosomal RNA". The stretch from base 1 to 121 matches the Rfam family "5.8S ribosomal RNA", at positions 35 to 154 of the family's 154-position model. The record is from RNAcentral.
GAUGAAGAACGCAGUGAAAUGCGAUAAGUAAUGCGAAUUGCAGAAUUUCCGUGAGUCAUCGAAUCUUUGAACGCACAUUGCGCCCCUUGGUAUUCCAUGGGGCAUGCCUGUUCGAGCGUCAUUUGUACCUUCAAGCUCUGCUUGGUGUUGGGUGUUUGUCUCGCCUCUGCGUGUAGACUCGCCUCAAAACAAUUGGCAGCCGGCGUAUUGAUUUCGGAGCGCAGUACAUCUCGCGCUUUGCACUCAUAACGACGACGUCCAAAAGUACAUUUUUACACUCUUGACCUCGGAUCAGGUAGGGAUACCCGCUGAACUUAAGCAUAUCAAUAAGCGGAGGA